CUUCCUAUAAUCGCAUCGAUAAAGAAUUUUAGGUUACUAAAUAGCGGGUAUCUUGCAGUCGCAAUAUCUUCUGUACUAUUCUCUUUAGUUUGUUUUGCUUUCGACUUUUAUUUCGGCCUUCUUUUUGGCUGCGGAAUGAAUUCAUUUCAUGCACUUUGCUGUGGGGCUAUGGGCGAUGCUUAUUAGUUGCAAUUUGCCUGCUGUGGCCAAAGUUUGCUCGCCAAAAACCAAACCAAAACCGAAAAAACCCAAACCAAAUAAAUUAAAUAAUUGCUGGCCGAAGAAGUUGAUAGGAUGGGAAAAAAUAAGGGCGGCGGCGGUGGUGGUGGAGCAGGAGGUGGAGGCGGCGGCAAUGUAAGCAAUAUUUGUGUUAUGCAACAUGCGUAUUAAUUAAAAAAGGCGGCGGCGCUGGCGGUGGUAGUGCAGGAGGAGCCGCAGCAGCCGCUGGAGCUGCUGGAAAUAAAAACAAAGGCGGUGGGGCUGGCGGUGACAAAGGUGGAGCCAAGAAAGGAGCAGACCAAAAGCCACCCCCAGGCGCUGGCAAGAAAGGAGGCAAGAAAUAGCAGUAGCCCCAAUGCCAAUGUGGCAACAUCAAAGCGCAUUAUAAAAUACAAAUUUAGAAUUAAGUUGAAAUUAAAAGGAUAUCAGGGAAUAUACUAUAUAUGUACAUAUGUAUCUAUAAUGUAUGUAUGUAUAAAUCGCUCUUACAAAUAGCAGAA
Molecule: RNA transcript, 719 nt
Organism: Drosophila pseudoobscura
Lineage: Eukaryota; Metazoa; Arthropoda; Insecta; Diptera; Drosophilidae
Gene name: glycine-rich protein DOT1
Exons: 2
Source: RefSeq, a predicted model, not a curated record